RNAcentral lists this ribosomal RNA (449 nucleotides) under uncultured bacterium. Its description in RNAcentral is "bacterial SSU rRNA". It matches the Rfam family "Bacterial small subunit ribosomal RNA", at positions 355 to 796 of the family's 1533-position model. The record is from RNAcentral.
UCGAGAAUCUUUCGCAAUGGGCGAAAGCCUGACGAAGCGACGCCGUGUGUGUGAUGAAGGCCCUCGGGUCGUAAAGCACUUUCGCCUGGGAACAAGAGAAAAGGACUAAUACUCCUUUAAUUUGAGGGUACCAGGUAAAGAAGCACCGGCUAACUCCGUGCCAGCAGCUGCGGUAAUACGGAGGGUGCAAGCAUUAAUCGGAAUUAUUGGGCGUAAAGGGCGCGUAGGCGGUAUGGUCAGUCAGGUGUGAAAUCCCGGAGCUUAACUCCGGAACAGCACUUGAAACUUCCAUUCUAGAGGAUAGACGGAGAAAACGGAAUUCCACAAGUAGCGGUGAAAUGCGUAGAUAUGUGGAGGAACACCUGUGGCGAAAGCGGUUUUCUAGUUUAUACCUGACGCUGAGGCGCGAAAGCAAGGGGAGCAAACAGGAUUAGAUACCCGUGUAGUCC